RNAcentral lists this long non-coding RNA (425 nucleotides) under Parus major (Great Tit). RNAcentral describes it as "lncRNA (ENSPMJG00000004540.1)". Lineage: Eukaryota; Metazoa; Chordata; Aves; Passeriformes; Paridae. The record is from RNAcentral.
CCCAAAAUGUUUUGGGGCUAAAAAAGCCAAUUUUGAGGCUGGAAAUUCCCAAUUUUUGGUGGGAAAAUCCCCUAAAUUUGGAUCCUUUCUGCCUCCCACAGGUGAACCCGGAGUGCCCGGAGCUGACGGCGACUCUGGACGGCUCCGCCCUGACCGAGCCCUGGCGCUCGGGGGAGGGGCGGCCACGCCCCAGCCACACCUGGCUCUGUGCCCUCCCUGCCCUGCCCAGCGAUCGCCCCGCCCACCUGGAGGUCACCUGGGCUCCUGACUCCACCCCCCGUGACGUCACGCUGCUGCCAGGUGAGGCUCAGGCUUGCUGGCAGGAGCCAAUCGUGGAGCGGGAGCUUUUCUGGCCGGAGCUGGGCGUGGCCGAGGCUCAGGUGCUGCAGGAUCAGGUGAGGAUGUGCCGGGAGCUGCUGGAGCUG